GGAUUAGAUACCCUGGUAGUCCACGCCGUAAACGAUGUCAACUAGCUGUCUGUGGACUUGAUCCGUGGGUAGCGCAGCUAACGCACUAAGUUGACCGCCUGGGGAGUACGGCCGCAAGGUUAAAACUCAAAUGAAUUGACGGGGGCCCGCACAAGCGGUGGAGCAUGUGGUUUAAUUCGAUGCAACGCGAAGAACCUUACCAUCCCUUGACAUCCAGAGAACUUUCUAGAGAUAGAUUGGUGCCUUCGGGAACUCUGAGACAGGUGCUGCAUGGCUGUCGUCAGCUCGUGCCG
Molecule: ribosomal RNA, 293 nt
Filed under: uncultured bacterium
Lineage: Bacteria
Description: partial 16S ribosomal RNA
Rfam family: Bacterial small subunit ribosomal RNA
Source: RNAcentral